GUGAAGGGUGGGCAGGAGAAGAGGUCUUAAAUUUAGCUAAAGUAAAUGUUUUUAAGGUGUUUUAGUGUGAUGUAGGAGUGCUUCGUGUAAGCAAACCCAAGUAAAUUAGCAAAACUUGCUAGUAGGACAAUUCUUUUCAGCUGAGGACUGCAGUUAAUAAGAGAGGGCUCCACCUAGGAAGCCUUGCUUAAAAGUAGUUAAUUAUCACUCCUUGUGCUUUGCUUGUUCAGUGGGAUAAUAGAGUUGUGCUUAAAAUGUGACUAUAUAAGCAAGGUUAGGCAAGAACAUUUAAGCAAAGUAUCUAUUCAUAUAGGCCUAUGCUGUGACUCUAAAAGAAGACAUGUACCUAGCUCAACUACUGUGAAACCAGGCUUUUGCAAAUUAACAACAGAAGAUGUUGUAAUUCAGGAAGAAUUCCACAGCAGAAGCCCGACACUGAUGCCUUCUGGAGGAGCAUCUUUGUUUUUCUGUUCCUUCAUACCAUGAAGCACCUGGCACCAAGCAGAAGACUGAGAACAGGCAUGUUUCAUCUAACGGUGGUCAUUUUCAAACAUUGAGAUUCGUGAAUAUCAGAUACACCUAGCAAGCAGGACCAGAGGAAAAACAUCAAGCCAUUUUCCAUUUGACAGCUUUGAAUCUGCUCACUCCACCCCUAUGGUUGCACUGUGCUGUCUCAUGGACUACUCCUGCACUCAGGCUUUAAGAAAUCUACCGUAAGACCGGUAAGAAGGGAACUGACCCCAUGGACAAUGACGUAAGCCAAUGGUGAUAUGGCAGUAGAAACUUAUUUUUGUCUUUUCAGUGUCUAUGAAGAUAAUUACUUGUGAUCAUCUCAAUAGCAAAGAAUUUUUUCCACCACAAUUUAAAAACUCUAUCUUAGGAGAAUAUUUCAAGAGUCAUUUAAUAAGUGUUACAGUUCACUGAAUCUUGAACUGCUGCUGCAGUCAGUUUUCAUUACGUUGUUUUCUUUUGACUUUAAGUUUCCAACCCAUUCCAUUUCAGAAGCGCACAACAGCCUUCUUCUGAACUGAGAAACAGUUUAUUGAUAUAACUGUAAAAGGAAAGAAAAAGCUUAAAGAUUACCAAAUGCUGUAACAAUUAAGGAGGUGUUUACGAAGCAUUUUUGAAAAGCUAAGAAUAGUAUAUAUAUUUUCUAUUGGUAUCCGUUAAGAAAGCAACUUUUCACAAAUCUAACUUGUGCAGAUGUUUUAUAUAUGUGCAAAAUCAAGAAAUGUUUGUUAUUUUCCAUAACAAGGGUUUACAGAACCUCAAAACAGUCUAAAAAAGGUGAUUAUAUUUUGAAAACUGGACAUUGUCAGGAAGUGGUUUAAGGAAAUAUAAAUGACCUGCCUUCAUCAACAACUGUUAUGGAAAAAUUUAACAUGUACUACAGAUAGACUACUGUCAAAUGCUGAUUUACCAAAAUAGGGAUGAGAAGUACGUAGCACAAUAUCAGUUCCUCAAAAUCUUAACUUUAAACAUGUGCUUUUGUGUUCUGCUGGAGUCAGCCCUUGCACAUCCUCAUGUUGACAGGAUAAACAUUUCCACAAAAUGAUUCCACAAAAUCCUGACUGAAGUAGACACAGUGAAAGCACCUAUAGUGAAUUUGUUGCAAUUUAAAUCUCUUUAUGAUAAUAAGCUAUUGACACAUGCUAAAAUCAGACCAGUCUCUCUUGAUUUCAAGGAAGCAUGUGAUCUGCCUGGAUCUAAAGAAAACAUCGUAGAUUAUCUUUAUGGAACUCUUCUGAUCUUGUUUUGAAAUAAAAACUAAUGUGGCAAUAUAUACAGCAAUUACUACCCCCACUUAAUGAAAAUCAUUAAUUUAAUGAAAAUCGCUAGAUUUCUUUACUAAUGUCUUCAGCGUAAUGGCAAAAAAAAAAAAAAAGAUGGUCUUAAGACUACUGAAGACCUCAAUCUUCUACUACAGAAAUAGUGCAGAUUUCUCCCCUGGUAUUACUUCUUAUCCCUGAUAUCUAAGACAGAGUACCAUUGGUGGAAGAAUAUUUUGUUCUUAGAUUUAUUUCUGACAACUAGUAACAGUUUCAUAAAAAUACUGGUAUAUGCUCACUAUAAUCUGCACUAAAGCUCUUAACAGCCUCAGAUCACACCCAAGCGUUCUUUAAAGACCAGGGUGACCUGUUCAGGCCGACUGAUGAUGGAGAGGCUCUACCUGGUACUGCGGACCCCACUGCUGGCCACUGCUCAAAGAGCCCAUCGCUUUGCUCCACCUGUGCAGGAUGGAGCGCGCACUCUGAAUGCGCUUCUAAAUUAUCAAGAUGAGAGUCUGUUAAUGGCUGCAAAGAAAGUUCAGAUGGGAUUGUGAAAUUUCAGAAAACAGCAGCCAGAAGAGGUUCACUUCCUACAGGAAAGAGAGCAAGAACAGGCUGUAAUUGCUGGCUACUAUUGUUUCUAAUCAGAGGACCACUAAGUGCCUAUAAUUGCUGCCAGCUGCUCAGCAGAGGUCAAAAAGGCAAUCUGAAUGUUAGGAAUUACUACAGCAGAAAUAAAGAACAAAACAGAUAAAAUUGUUUUGCCACUGUGUGGAUCCUAACUGGAAAGGCAGCAUAGAUAGCACUUGAAAAAGGAUGUUCCAAAGUACAGAACAGCUUCCAUACAAAAAUUACUCCAUAGGAGCCACCAGCUCUGUUUCCCCAGAUCCUCCUUUUUGCCUUAAUGGAAGGUGUGCGUGAUGUUUGCCUUAUUUGGCCAUCAUGAAUCUCCCUUGUUCACUAUGACCUUUCAAAGGUAAUAAAGAGUGGCCUCAUAAUGACACCAAAAAGCUUCCUAGUACAAUAAUUCUUAAAUUUCUCUGCUCCAGGACACUCCAAAGUCUCAGUACACACACUUGUCCCACAGGAGGUAAUGACGUAAGCUGCUUUCAACUCAGACCCCUUUGUCAGAAAGGAAAUGCCCACCAAAACAGUGUAAAAGGCUGUUAAAAAAUGCAGGUUUGUCUUUAGCCAUCUAAUUACAGAGUUUCCACAAAUGGUAAUACAAACUAGAACUAUACAAGAUAAAAUUUUCUUACAGAACUUCUCUGCAAUGGUGAAAUUCCUCUCCCUUCCUUGACAAGUACAACAUGCAAGGUGGGAAAAGGGAAGUGUCUGUCACAACAAGAGAGUGAACAGAAGCUAAAAAAUGAAAGCCUAAAGCUUAACGCAGCUGUGAGGAAAUAAUUUUAUUAAUUUAUUGGUAAAUUCAGUUACAAAGAAAACAUCAUCCAAGAAUGUCUUCAGAGGCUAUCGCCAUUACAAUAUUUUGUCAUGCCUGAACGUGGCUUCAUAGAUGCAACCAAGGCUGAGACAAUCCUGAUGACAAUUCUUAAAUUUGUGUAGCUCACAAUAAAAUGUUUGUUCCCAAUAUAAUUUUGAACAUAUGUAUCUAUAUGGAGUGCAAAAUCACAACUCUGUGCCACAGCAUUAGUUUUUUACUACAGAUCCACUAGAAAAUGUUCAUCCUCUCCACCAAAAUUAAGUAUUCUCUUCCCACUUAGCCCUUCUUUCUCACCACUUCCAUAUAUUACAGAUUUUUUCAGAUUUUUUUGUUCAUUUUCUUGAUUUCCCUAUGAGUCAGACAUAUGGGUUAAAAAGUAGUUACAGUACAGAAGCCAUCUUCCUAGACUGUGACAAUGCUACAGUGGGUUGUAUUUCCAACAAAGACCAGCUUUAAAGAAAUCUUUGCAGGUUUAUUUGGGAAUAAGGAGGGAAUCUGAUUGUAAUCUGACCAGUUGAACAGGGAUUAUAGAACAGCAUGCUUUAGUUAAUACUUUUCUUUAAAUUUCAAAUGCAAUUCCAUAUGAACAAAAAAGUAACAUGUGGCUUUGUGAGACAAAAAAGCCACUCUGUGCUGAGAUCAUAUGUAUAGAAAGCAAACAGGCUUUAAAAAUCUUAAAGCCUUUAUAAACAGUCAGAAAUACUUUAAAAUUCAGAAUGAUCUCUCAAGUCUACUCUUUCAUACAUAUGGCAAACAUUAAAAGCACACAUGAAAAUGUAAAGAAACUUUUGUUUUAAUACUGUUAAGAUUCACCAGAGGUCUUUUAGAAAUAAAAUUACACAGGGAGUUACUUCAGAACUGCUUGAAUUUCUGCUAAAAACAAACACAAAUAGUAAUUUUGGCUUCAUUUACCUUAGUGUAUAGGACUUUCAUUUAUAAAUUACAGUAGUGCCAGUGCCUACCUUAGGGGAAGGAAAAAAACUUUUGUAGAAAUCUGCAUAUAUUAUAUGUGUAUUAUAUAUGUAAAUAUACAGCUUUCUACUGCCUUACUGAUUCCAUGCCUCCUCACCCCAGCAUUUGUUAAUAUCUAUCUGUAGUCCUCUGUUAUUUCCAAUUUUUUUCCAAUAUUUCCAGGAACCAUUUAUGUCCUGUCUUUGUACAAUGCGUACAGUUACAGGGGUUUGAUCUACAAAAAUGAAAAUCUACAAAAUUAAAAUCUUAGAUGAAGAGACAAAGAUGGCAAACAUGGUAUUGCAAUUAUGUGAUAAGGCUGUAAUAUACAAGUAAAUAGACUCAGGGUUUGAGGCCAAUCAAAGAGAGAAUAUUCAGUAAUUCCUGAAGUAAUAUAUUUAUUUGUUAUUUUCUCCUAGAUCUUCCUUAAGAAAUAGCUUUAACUGUUACUUUUAUCAUGCAUAAAUGUUUAUGUCAAGAUUUUACAUAUCAAAAACAAGUUUAUGUAAUUAUCUCCUCAUGAGGGAGACACUUCAGUACACAAGGAAAAGUUAGUUCUCCCCUUGGAGAAAAAAUGUUUAGUUAAUUUCCAAGAUUGUGACAGUUUGGAUAGACACACUGCAAUUAACUUAUUAGUUAAAAUAGAAAACAAAGGAUAAGAGUAAAUGAAGUUCCACAAGGAUUUUCAUAGAGGCUUAUGCUGUUUAAUAUAUUCAUGAAUGACCUAGAAAAGGGAGCAAACAGUAAGGAAACAAUGCUUACUCAUGCUAGAAAGUUAUGGUAGUAAUGCUAAGAGCUGACUGUGAGGAAUUUCAGAAGGCUCUUAUAGGACUGAGUGUCUGGAAAAUAAAAGGGUAAAUGAAACUUGGUGUCAGUAGAUGUAACUGGGGAAGUUCAAUUCUUCUGUUGCAUAUAUUGAAAAAAAUGACAGGUUCAGAACUCACUAUUUUCACUCCAGAACAGGUUUUGGCAUUAUGUUAGAUCCACGAAAACAUGGAUUCAGUGCUUAGGAACAGUCAGAAAUACCAAAUCAAAUAUUAGGAAAUACUGGGAAAGGGAUAGAGAACAUACUUAUGCCACUGUAGAAAUGCAGGGUUUGCCUGGACCUUGAAUACCUUCAAAAACAAGAACAAAAUGCUUUAUGUAUGAAGCCAAAGAAAACCAAAUUGAGAAAGAUAGGAAAAACAAACAAACAAAACAACAACAAAACCAAAGAGAAAUCUUUCAUCAUACAACAGGAAGUAGACCUGUGAAAUUCCUUGUUGAAAGACAUUAUGGGCACCAGGUGAAAUUGGACAUGCUGUUGAAAGAGAGAUCCACUGAGAAUCAAUGAAUAGGCAUAAAAAGGUGGUGCAGUUGAGGCAGUCUAGUAGUGCAGGUAAAGGAUGCCAUCCAGAGAGAUCUUGACAGGCUUGAGAGGUGGGCCUGUGUGAACCUCAUGAAGUUCAACAAGGCCAAGUGCGGAGUUCUGCAUCUGGAUCAGGGCAAUCCAAGCACAGAUGCAGUCUGGGCAGAGAACAGAUUGAGAGCAGCUGUGAGGAGAAGGACCUGGGGGUGUUGGUUGAUGAGAAGGUCAACAUGAGCUGGCAAUGUGUGCUUGCAGCCCAGAAAGCCAACAAAUCCUGGGCUGCAUCAAAAGCAGCAUGGCCUGAUUCUCCCCCUCUACUCUGCUCUCAUGAGCUCCCACCUGCAGUAUUGCCUUCAGCUCUGGGCUCCCAGCACAUGGACCUAUUUGAACGAGUCCAGAGGAGGGCUACGAGGAUGAUAAGGCACUGGAGCACCUCUCCUAUAGACAGGAUGAAGGAGUUGGGGUUGUUUAGUCUGGAGGAGACUGGGGAGACCUUAUAGUGGCUUUCCAGUCCCUGAACAGGCCUACAGGAGCUUGGGAGUGACUCUUUUUCAGUGAGCGUAGUGAUAGGACAAGGAGUAAUGGUUUUAAACUGAAAAAGAUGAAGACUAACUUCACUCCUAUAACUCAAGAAAAAUCUAUUUAGGAAAAAAUACAUCUCUUUCUGACCUCCCUACAUGUGUCAUUUUACAUCUAGCAACAUCAAUUCUAUACGUAGUACCUAAACAGUAGAUACUGAUACGUGUUGGAACAUCAUAUGUCAGGAGGAUUGUCGAUUACUUGGAAAGAAUCCAAAGAAAAGCAUUAGGAAGACAGUGAAGUAACGGAGAAGAUUGCUGAGGGGAACCUGUAAAGACUUCAUCUCUGAAUGUUUUUAAGAAUAAAAUAUCUUCUGGAAAUAACAUGAAGAUACAUGAUUCUGCAUAGGGACAAUAAGAACAUCUGGCUCAUGAAUCACCUUAUUGUUAGAGGUAAAGAGAGUAUUAGAGGAAAAGUAUAAUAUUCACUUCUCUUUUUCUUAUACUCUUCUUAGCACCUACUUAUGAACCCUACCAGGAGCAGGACAGUGGACCUUUGGCCUGACCAAGUACAACCAUUUCUCUGUUCUUAAAAGGAUUCCCUUUUGAGGUACUUUUAAACAAUAUUUUUUCCAUGGGUUAAUGAUGUCAUAGACUACUUUUCAAAUAAUUCAGUUAGAAGAGGAAGGUGGACAGGAAACCUGAAAAUUUGAGGAGAUAGAAAAAAGGACAUGUGAUCAACUCUUAGUGAAAGUGCCUUUCAGUGACAAUGUUGUUAUACUGAUCUUCUGUUUUUGUGAUGAAGGGAAUGGUUAUCUUUGUGAGAAGAAAAACUUAUCUCAAAGAUAAAAAGAUUUGAAAGUUUCAGUAAACAUUUAUUUUUAGAUUAUGUGAUUUUAAAAUAUUUUUUAGUUUUAAGGAAUAUUCAGAUUUAGACUCUAGUGUUUCUAGUCAAUAAAUGAUUCUUGAAUACUAGCGCCAUCUUUUUAUUAAGUUGGUAAGUGAAAAUUUUCAUCUGAGGAGCUGAAUAGAGUAAAACAGUUUGAAGAAGAAAGCAGAUGAGGGGAAGAUACUGUGUGCAAUCCCUACAGUAAGAGUAGCUAUUGUCAGGUACAAGAAUAAAGGAAAGCAGAUGGUCUGAUGUGCUGAAUGGGUGUUGAAUUAUGUAACUCAAGCAGAUAACAAAGUUUGUGUGAAUUGUAAAUUAUGAAGAUGACACUGAAAAACAGUGGUUGCAUAAACAGUAAAUUUGGUAAACUGAACACAUGCAGACCACAUACACUGAAAAUAGAUGAGCAGAAAAAAAUGUGAGAACAGUGAACUGCAAAUUCUUUGUAUAUGUUUAGCAGACACUACUCUCAGUAACAAAGGCUAUGAAAAAAACUUAAGGGAUAUGCUCAACUGAUAAUUGAUUGGCACUCUAUGCCCAAAAAUGUUUCAUAGAACAUAUGGGUAGUUCAAUUGUAAUACUCAUAGUUGAGAAAGGAGAUAGAAAUAUUGCAGACAGUAUGUAAAAGGAUUACAUGGUUAAACAAAUUAUUGAAAAAACAUGCCUUAGAGUGUAAGACACUAGAUCUUAACUUUCCCAAUUUAUUAAAACAAAAAGGAGUGAUUGAAUCACAAUGUUAACUGUGAGAAUGCUGGACACCUUCAUCUGACAGGUAAAGAUCCCACAAAAUCUGGUGGUGUAAAGAUACAGUUGCACAGAUUCCAUCUUCUGGGAGAAAGUAUUUAUCUCUGCUAGUUGCUCCAGGGUGGUUCUGGCACUGUCCUUAUGUGCAGUUCAGUGCAUCAAAAUAAGAAGCCUGAAUUUCUUCGAGUCAGUACAGAGUGGUUGGUGCUUCCAGAGUGGCUAUUAAGAGUGAAUAAAUUCACCUCUAAGUAACUGUAACAACUGAGAUGUUUUAUGCUUUUAUCUUACAGAAUGUCAGACUAGAUGAUCCCAUGAACCCUCAUGGCAUUAAAAUCUAUGUAUCUACAACUUACUAAGAAAUGAAAACAAAUGAGACUAACAGGGAAGCACCUACUAUUUUAUCAUAGUAUAUUAUAUUAUGUGACAGUUUACAGACAUUUUCACUUAAACAGUUCCUUUUAAAGAAUUAUGCUACACUUGUGACUUUCCAUUGUUCUGGUGCCAUAGCUGACUUUAACACUAAGCUCCAUACUACUGUACAUAAUUCAGCAAUUUUGUAUUUUAAUGUUUCUGGAAUUCUUACUUUAGUACUAUCUGGUUCAGGGAAUUUAAUUCUGUUUUCUUUUUUUUUUUCUUUUUUCCCCGAUUUGUUUCAAACAAGCUUUAUACUGAUAGUUCAAGCUUGAUGGAAGUUUUUCCAGACAUUCUCUUUUGUGUUUGAACAAAUAUAUUGAGUUUUUAAGAUUUGACAUGUUUAUCCUCAAAACCCUUUUUGUAUUAUAUUACUUUUAUUUCCCAGAGAUUCCCACAUUUGGACAUGAUUUCCAUUUUCCAAAGGAUGCCCUAAUAGCUUCCUCCAGUUGGCUAUUUCACCAUGUCAUUGUGUUUCCUGUUCUUUCAGAAUUUCAGUACUUCAUCAUUAAAAUAGAGGUAAUAAUUA
This is a non-coding RNA of Anas platyrhynchos (mallard), 8603 nucleotides long. The record is from RefSeq and is a predicted model, not a curated record. Lineage: Eukaryota; Metazoa; Chordata; Aves; Anseriformes; Anatidae.